GUGAGGAAUAUUGGACAAUGGAUGGAAAUCUGAUCCAGCCAUGCCGCGUGCAGGAAGACGGCCCUAUGGGUUGUAAACUGCUUUUGUAUGGGAGCAAUAAGGGCUACGAGUAGCCUGAUGAGAGUACCAUACGAAUAAGGACCGGCUAACUCCGUGCCAGCAGCCGCGGUAAUACGUAGGGGGCAAGCGUUAUCCGGAUUUACUGGGUGUAAAGGGAGCGUAGACGGAAUGGCAAGUCUGAAGUGAAAUCCUGCGGAUUAACUGCAGAAUUGCUUUGGAAACUGUCAAUCUGGAGUGUUGGAGAGGUAAGCGGAAUUCCUGGUGUAGCGGUGAAAUGCGUAGAUAUUGGGAGGAACACCAGUGGCGAAGGCGCCUUUCUGGACUGUGUCUGACGCUGAGAUGCGAAAGCCAGGGUAGCGAACGGGAUUAGAAACCCCGGUAGUC
RNAcentral lists this ribosomal RNA (444 nucleotides) under uncultured bacterium. Its description in RNAcentral is "partial 16S ribosomal RNA". It matches the Rfam family "Bacterial small subunit ribosomal RNA", at positions 354 to 795 of the family's 1533-position model. The record is from RNAcentral.